AAGGGUAUAGCUCAGUGGUAGAGUGUGUGCUUAGCAUGCCCAAGGUCCUGGGUUCAAUCCCCAGUACCUCUA
This 72-nucleotide transfer RNA is filed under the name Camelus ferus (Wild Bactrian camel). It matches the Rfam family "tRNA". Rfam says of the family: Transfer RNA (tRNA) molecules are approximately 80 nucleotides in length. The record is from Rfam by way of RNAcentral. Lineage: Eukaryota; Metazoa; Chordata; Mammalia; Artiodactyla; Camelidae.